GGUUAAGUUAGAAAGGGCGCACGGUGGAUGCCUUGACACUAGGAGUCGAUGAAGGACGGGACUAACGCCGAUAUGCUUCGGGGAGCUGUAAGUAAGCUUUGAUCCGAAGAUUUCCGAAUGGGGAAACCCACCAUACGUAAUGGUAUGGUAUCCUUAUCUGAAUACAUAGGGUAAGGAAGACAGACCCAGGGAACUGAAACAUCUAAGUACCUGGAGGAAGAGAAAGCAAAUGCGAUUUCCUGAGUAGCGGCGAGCGAAACGGAACAUAGCCCAAACCAAGAGGCUUGCCUCUUGGGGUUGUAGGACAUUCUAUACGGAGUUACAAAGGAACGAGGUAGACGAAGCGACCUGGAAAGGUCCGUCGUAGAGGGUAACAACCCCGUAGUCGAAACUUCGUUCUCUCUUGAAUGUAUCCUGAGUACGGCGGAACACGUGAAAUUCCGUCGGAAUCUGGGAGGACCAUCUCCCAAGGCUAAAUACUCCCUAGUGAUCGAUAGUGAACCAGUACCGUGAGGGAAAGGUGAAAAGCACCCCGGAAGGGGAGUGAAAGAGAUCCUGAAACCGUGUGCCUACAAAUAGUCAGAGCCCGUUAACGGGUGAUGGCGUGCCUUUUGUAGAAUGAACCGGCGAGUUACGAUCCCGUGCGAGGUUAAGCUGAAGAGGCGGAGCCGCAGCGAAAGCGAGUCUGAAUAGGGCGUUUAGUACGUGGUCGUAGACCCGAAACCAGGUGAUCUACCCAUGUCCAGGGUGAAGUUCAGGUAACACUGAAUGGAGGCCCGAACCCACGCACGUUGAAAAGUGCGGGGAUGAGGUGUGGGUAGCGGAGAAAUUCCAAUCGAACCUGGAGAUAGCUGGUUCUCCCCGAAAUAGCUUUAGGGCUAGCCUUAAGUGUAAGAGUCUUGGAGGUAGAGCACUGAUUGGACUAGGGGUCCUCAUCGGAUUACCGAAUUCAGUCAAACUCCGAAUGCCAAUGACUUAUCCUUAGGAGUCAGACUGCGAGUGAUAAGAUCCGUAGUCAAAAGGGAAACAGCCCAGACCGCCAGCUAAGGUCCCAAAGUGUGUAUUAAGUGGAAAAGGAUGUGGAGUUGCUUAGACAACUAGGAUGUUGGCUUAGAAGCAGCCACCAUUUAAAGAGUGCGUAAUAGCUCACUAGUCGAGUGACUCUGCGCCGAAAAUGUACCGGGGCUAAAUACACCACCGAAGCUGCGGAUUGAUACCAAUGGUAUCAGUGGUAGGGGAGCGUUCUAAGGACAGUGAAGUCAGACCGGAAGGACUGGUGGAGUGCUUAGAAGUGAGAAUGCCGGUAUGAGUAGCGAAAGACGGGUGAGAAUCCCGUCCACCGAAUGCCUAAGGUUUCCUGAGGAAGGCUCGUCCGCUCAGGGUUAGUCAGGACCUAAGCCGAGGCCGACAGGCGUAGGCGAUGGACAACAGGUUGAUAUUCCUGUACCACCUCUUUAUCGUUUGAGCAAUGGAGGGACGCAGAAGGAUAGAAGAAGCGUGCGAUUGGUUGUGCACGUCCAAGCAGUUAGGCUGAUAAGUAGGCAAAUCCGCUUAUCGUAAAGGCUGAGCUGUGAUGGGGAAGCUCCUUAUGGAGCGAAGUCUUUGAUUCCCCGCUGCCAAGAAAAGCUUCUAGCGAGAUAAAAGGUGCCUGUACCGCAAACCGACACAGGUAGGCGAGGAGAGAAUCCUAAGGUGUGCGAGAGAACUCUGGUUAAGGAACUCGGCAAAAUGACCCCGUAACUUCGGGAGAAGGGGUGCUUUCUUAACGGAAAGCCGCAGUGAAUAGGCCCAAGCGACUGUUUAGCAAAAACACAGCUCUCUGCGAAGCCGUAAGGCGAAGUAUAGGGGGUGACACCUGCCCGGUGCUGGAAGGUUAAGGAGAGGGGUUAGCGUAAGCGAAGCUCUGAACUGAAGCCCCAGUAAACGGCGGCCGUAACUAUAACGGUCCUAAGGUAGCGAAAUUCCUUGUCGGGUAAGUUCCGACCCGCACGAAAGGUGUAACGAUUUGGGCACUGUCUCAACCAGAGACUCGGUGAAAUUAUAGUACCUGUGAAGAUGCAGGUUACCCGCGACAGGACGGAAAGACCCCGUGGAGCUUUACUGUAGCCUGAUAUUGAAUUUUGGUACAGUUUGUACAGGAUAGGCGGGAGCCUUUGAAACCGGAGCGCUAGCUUCGGUGGAGGCGCUGGUGGGAUACCGCCCUGACUGUAUUGAAAUUCUAACCUACGGGUCUUAUCGACCCGGGAGACAGUGUCAGGUGGGCAGUUUGACUGGGGCGGUCGCCUCCUAAAGUGUAACGGAGGCGCCCAAAGGUUCCCUCAGAAUGGUUGGAAAUCAUUCGUAGAGUGCAAAGGCAUAAGGGAGCUUGACUGCGAGACCUACAAGUCGAGCAGGGACGAAAGUCGGGCUUAGUGAUCCGGUGGUUCCGCAUGGAAGGGCCAUCGCUCAACGGAUAAAAGCUACCCCGGGGAUAACAGGCUUAUCUCCCCCAAGAGUCCACAUCGACGGGGAGGUUUGGCACCUCGAUGUCGGCUCAUCGCAUCCUGGGGCUGUAGUCGGUCCCAAGGGUUGGGCUGUUCGCCCAUUAAAGCGGUACGCGAGCUGGGUUCAGAACGUCGUGAGACAGUUCGGUCCCUAUCCGUCGUGGGCGUAGGAAAUUUGAGAGGAGCUGUCCUUAGUACGAGAGGACCGGGAUGGACGCACCGCUGGUGUACCAGUUGUUCUGCCAAGGGCAUAGCUGGGUAGCUAUGUGCGGAAGGGAUAAGUGCUGAAAGCAUCUAAGCAUGAAGCCCCCCUCAAGAUGAGAUUUCCCAUAGCGUAAGCUAGUAAGAUCCCUGAAAGAUGAUCAGGUUGAUAGGUUCGAGGUGGAAGCAUGGUGACAUGUGGAGCUGACGAAUACUAAUAGAUCGAGGACUUAACCAU
This 2922-nucleotide ribosomal RNA is filed under the name Escherichia coli. RNAcentral describes it as "23S ribosomal RNA". It matches the Rfam family "Bacterial large subunit ribosomal RNA". The record is from RNAcentral. RNAcentral also lists the same sequence under 25 other names. Lineage: Bacteria; Pseudomonadati; Pseudomonadota; Gammaproteobacteria; Enterobacterales; Enterobacteriaceae.